CUUGCUCCUUUGAAGUUAGCGGCGGACGGGUGAGUAACACGUGGGUAACCUACCUAUAAGACUGGAAUAACUUCGGGAAACCGGAGCUAAUGCCGGAUAACAUUUGGAACCGCAUGGUUCUAAAGUAAAAGAUGGUUUUGCUAUCACUUAUAGAUGGACCCGCGCCGUAUUAGCUAGUUGGUAAGGUAACGGCUUACCAAGGCAACGAUACGUAGCCGACCUGAGAGGGUGAUCGGCCACACUGGAACUGAGACACGGUCCAGACUCCUACGGGAGGCAGCAGUAGGGAAUCUUCCGCAAUGGACGAAAGUCUGACGGAGCAACGCCGCGUGAGUGAUGAAGGUUUUCGGAUCGUAAAACUCUGUUAUUAGGGAAGAACAAAUGUGUAAGUAACUGUGCACAUCUUGACGGUACCUAAUCAGAAAGCCACGGCUAACUACGUGCCAGCAGCCGCGGUAAUACGUAGGUGGCAAGCGUUAUCCGGAAUUAUUGGGCGUAAAGCGCGCGUAGGCGGUUUCUUAAGUCUGAUGUGAAAGCCCACGGCUCAACCGUGGAGGGUCAUUGGAAACUGGGAAACUUGAGUACAGAAGAGGAAAGUGGAAUUCCAUGUGUAGCGGUGAAAUGCGCAGAGAUAUGGAGGAACACCAGUGGCG
RNAcentral lists this ribosomal RNA (653 nucleotides) under Staphylococcus sp. Its description in RNAcentral is "bacterial SSU rRNA". It matches the Rfam family "Bacterial small subunit ribosomal RNA", at positions 79 to 717 of the family's 1533-position model. The record is from RNAcentral. Lineage: Bacteria; Bacillati; Bacillota; Bacilli; Caryophanales; Staphylococcaceae.